Molecule: ribosomal RNA, 471 nt
Filed under: uncultured bacterium
Lineage: Bacteria
Description: partial 16S ribosomal RNA
Rfam family: Bacterial small subunit ribosomal RNA
Source: RNAcentral
AUUGAACGCUGGCGGCAGGCCUAACACAUGCAAGUCGAGCGGGGACUUCGGUCCUAGCGGCGAACGGGUGAGUAAUGCUUGGGAAUCUGCCCAGUAGUGGGGGAUAACGUCCCGAAAGGGACGCUAAUACCGCAUACGUCCUACGGGAGAAAGAGGGGGAUCUUGGACCUCUCGCUAUUGGAUGAGCCCAAGUCGGAUUAGCUAGUUGGUAGGGUAAUGGCCUACCAAGGCGACGAUCCGUAGCUGGUCUGAGAGGAUGAUCAGCCACACUGGAACUGAGACACGGUCCAGACUCCUACGGGAGGCAGCAGUGGGGAAUAUUGGACAAUGGGCGAAAGCCUGAUCCAGCCAUGCCGCGUGUGUGAAGAAGGCCUUCGGGUUGUAAAGCACUUUAAGCGGGGAGGAAGGUUCGCGGCCUAAUACGUCGCGGAAUUGACGUUACCCGCAGAAUAAGCACCGGCUAACUCUGUG